GCAAACAGGAUUAGAUACCCUGGUAGUCCACGCUGUAAACGAUGUCGAUUUAGAGGUUGUGGUCUUGAACCGUGGCUUCUGGAGCUAACGCGUUAAAUCGACCGCCUGGGGAGUACGGCCGCAAGGUUAAAACUCAAAUGAAUUGACGGGGGCCCGCACAAGCGGUGGAGCAUGUGGUUUAAUUCGAUGCAACGCGAAGAACCUUACCUACUCUUGACAUCCAGCGAAUCCUUUAGAGAUAGAGGAGUGCCUUCGGGAACGCUGAGACAGGUGCUGCAUGGCUGUCGUCAGCUCGUGUUGUGAAAUGUUGGGUUAAGUCCCGCAACGAGCGCAACCCUUAUCCUUUGUUGCCAGCACGUAAUGGUGGGAACUCAAAGGAGACUGCCGGUGAUAAACCGGAGGAAGGUGGGGAUGACGUCAAGUCAUCAUGGCCCUUACGAGUAGGGCUACACACGUGCUACAAUGGCAGAUACAAAGAGAAGCGACCUCGCGAGAGCAAGCGGAACUCAUAAAGUCUGUCGUAGUCCGGAUUGGAGUCUGCAACUCGACUCCAUGAAGUCGGAAUCGCUAGUAAUCGUAGAUCAGAAUGCUACGGUGAAUACGUUCCCGGGCCUUGUACACACCGCCCGUCACACCAUGGGAGUGGGUUGCAAAAGAAGUAGGUAGCUUAAC
This 672-nucleotide ribosomal RNA is filed under the name Proteus mirabilis. RNAcentral describes it as "bacterial SSU rRNA". It matches the Rfam family "Bacterial small subunit ribosomal RNA", at positions 768 to 1439 of the family's 1533-position model. Lineage: Bacteria; Pseudomonadati; Pseudomonadota; Gammaproteobacteria; Enterobacterales; Morganellaceae. The record is from RNAcentral.